UAAAGUUCGUCGCCGUCGUCGACCCUGUACUUUUCCGUCGAAUCCCCAAAAGAAAAACCCUAGUUCUUCCUCCCAAAUCGGACCUCGCCGCCUCUCCUCCUCAUCUUCGCCGGACACUUGACUUGGGUUGACAAAGAUGUCUAGUCGAGGACCAUCAAAGUCCAAAACUAGAUGGAUGGCGCCUAGGAAGAUCUUGCAUCAAGCAAGGGAGUGUCAGAGAGAGCUAGAAGGCGCUCGUCGUUCCAUAUCUAUCCCUAGUGUCCCUCCCUCUACAUCCUUUUGCACCAACGAUAGAGAGAUGGAUCAUAUUACCCCAGAGUCUUCUUAUAGGGUAGAUUUUGCAUCUUCCCGUGCAGCAUGUCAGCCUGAGGAGCAUGAUUUGCCGACCUCUACACACUCUAUACCAUCUGUACACUCGAUGGUUGGAGAGGAUGCCUCUGCAUCCGUAUCAGCAGCUCGUCCUUUACAUUUGAGAAACUAUCAUCCUAAUCGUGCUGCUAAAUGUGGAGAGAAGCGUGCUACAAGAGCUGAAGAUGCAGGGCUACCACGGGCAUGUAAGAAGACUCGGGGGAAGUAUAAAGCCCAUCGAUUGGCUCCGAGUUCCGAGAUAGAUGAACCGGCAUUUCCUUUGAAUUUUGAUGAGGAGUUUCACAUAAUUGGCUCCAAUGCUGAGCGAUUUGGGCAGUAUAUUAGGCAGAAAAGCCGUCAAUUUACGGACUUUCCACUUCAUCUGAAUUGGUGUGCGCAUCAUGAGCGUUCAUUUGAAAUAUUCUUUCUCCAAGCUUAGAAAGAUUAUGAGUUUUUGCCCCAAGAUCCUUAUUGUCCACUCAACCUUCCUGUUAUCUACCGAGGCAUAAAGACAAAGAUGCAGAAGAGGGUCCGAGGCAAUCAAAAUCAGGUGAAGAUGGAGUGCUCUGAACUAUGGUUGAAGACCCCAGAAGAGAAGAGACGUGCUCUCUUCCAGGAAAAGGUGUUUGAAGGGAUUGAUGAAAAUUGGUGGGGUGACCUAUGCUCGUUUUAUUCUUCUAAGAGCAAACAGCGAGAUCGAGCAACCUAUAUAGGUGGCUUGAGGAGCAUAGUUCGAGCAAAAUAGAAAGUGAGAUCUCAAAUCGAAGAAUCAGGUGGCUCCUCAAGUGCCUUGAAGGAGUAUUUGGGUACCCACGCGACAUUAGUGGAUCCAAAUGGUGACACAUACUCGUGACCGGGUGAUAGAAAAGGCAAAAUCAUUAGGUGUCGACCAAGAACCCAAGUUUGCCGCGAUGAUCAAAGUUUUAGAUGAGGUACAUGAAGGGCAUCACGGUAGUUAUGAGAGAGGCUUGGGUCAUGGUGUCAGUAGACAUUAUUUGAAGACUUCCUACACUCCGAUAUUUGCCACUCCUCCUGAUGUCCUUCGCGAGAUGGCUGAGCUUAAGUCCAAGAUGGAACGACUUACCCAACUAAUUGAUUCUCAGACCACUCGUCCACCACCUGUUAUUCCUGCUACUACUCCCCUGACUUUAUCUCAUCAUUCUCCAGAUGCUCAGGGUUCUACAUUAGCUGCUUAAUGUUCUCCUCAGGAUAUUUUGACACAAAACCCUCUUGCUAGUUGAAUGGGAGGCGUGCUGGGGGGCAUGCUGGGGGGUGUCUUAGGGAGCUUUACACAGGAGGGCUAUAGCGAGGAGGACAUCCGCAAAGCUUUUGCUGAUUAUAUUUGAUUAAAUCACCCGUGAUUUGUACUUUUAAUUAACAUACUUAAGACAUUUGUAUAUUUCAGAUAUCCUCUUUUGGGACUUGAGUAAUUUAUAAGUUGUUGUAUUUUGGUUCUAGUCAGUCUUUUAAUUUAUA
Asparagus officinalis (garden asparagus) is the source of this 1824-nucleotide RNA transcript. RefSeq lists it as uncharacterized. The transcript is spliced from 10 exons. The record is from RefSeq and is a predicted model, not a curated record. NCBI's taxonomy places the organism in Eukaryota, Viridiplantae, Streptophyta, Magnoliopsida, Asparagales, Asparagaceae.